UACGGAGGGGGCAAGCGUUGUUCGGAAUUACUGGGCGUAAAGCGCACGUAGGCGGACUGGUCAGUUGGGGGUGAAAUCCCGAGGCUUAACCUCGGAACUGCCUUCAAUACUGCCAGUCUUGAGAUCGGAAGAGGUGAGUGGAAUUCCUAGUGGUAGAGGUAAAUUCGUAGAUAUUAGGAAGAACACCAGUGGCGAAGGCGGCUCACUGGUCCGAUACUCGACGCUGAGGUGCGAAACGUGGGGAGCGAACAGGAUUAGAUACCCGCGUAGUCC
Molecule: ribosomal RNA, 273 nt
Filed under: uncultured bacterium
Lineage: Bacteria
Description: partial 16S ribosomal RNA
Rfam family: Bacterial small subunit ribosomal RNA
Source: RNAcentral